AAUCAACGCUGGCGGCGUGCCUCAGACAUGCAAGUCGAACGCGAAAUUUCCCCUCGGGGAGAAAGUAGAGUGGCGCACGGGUGAGUAACACGUAGGUAAUUUGCCUUUGGGUGGGGAAUAACUCAGGGAAACUUGAGCUAAUACCGCAUAAUGCAGCGGCUCGACAUCGAGACAGUUGUUAAAGCGGGGGAUCGCAAGACCUCGCGCCUAAAGAGAAGCCUGCGGCAGAUUAGCUAGUUGGUAAGGUAGUGGCUUACCAAGGCUACGAUCUGUAACCGGCCUGAGAGGGUGGUCGGUCACACUGACACUGACAUACGGGUCAGACUCCUACGGGAGGCAGCAGUCGGGAAUUUUGGGCAAUGGGCGAAAGCCUGACCCAGCAACGCCGCGUGAAGGAUGAAAUUUUCGGAAUGUAAACUUCGCAAGAACAGGAAGAAUAAGUAGGGGACGAAUACCCCCUAUAGAUGACGGUACUGUUUGUAAGCUCCGGCUAACUCCGUGCCAGCCGCCGCGGUAAC
This 518-nucleotide ribosomal RNA is filed under the name uncultured bacterium. Its description in RNAcentral is "bacterial SSU rRNA". It matches the Rfam family "Bacterial small subunit ribosomal RNA", at positions 32 to 524 of the family's 1533-position model. The record is from RNAcentral.